UACAGAGGGGGCAAGCGUUGUUCGGAAUUACUGGGCGUAAAGGGCGCGUAGGCGGCCUGUUAAGUCGAACGUGAAAUCCCUGGGCUCAACCCAGGAACUGCGUCCGAUACUGGUUGGCUUGAAUCCGGGAGAGGGACGUGGAAUUCCAGGUGUAGCGGUGAAAUGCGUAGAUAUCUGGAGGAACACCGGUGGCGAAGGCGACGUCCUGGACCGGCAUUGACGCUGAGGCGCGAAAGCCAGGGGAGCAAACGGG
RNAcentral lists this ribosomal RNA (253 nucleotides) under uncultured bacterium. RNAcentral describes it as "partial 16S ribosomal RNA". It matches the Rfam family "Bacterial small subunit ribosomal RNA", at positions 524 to 776 of the family's 1533-position model. The record is from RNAcentral.